GACGAACGCUGGCGGCGUGCCUAAUACAUGCAAGUAGAACGCUGAAGGAGGAGCUUGCUUCUCUGGAUGAGUUGCGAACGGGUGAGUAACGCGUAGGUAACCUGCCUGGUAGCGGGGGAUAACUAUUGGAAACGAUAGCUAAUACCGCAUAAUAGUAGAUGUUGCAUGACAUUUGCCUAAAAGGUGCAAUUGCAUCACUACCAGAUGGACCUGCGUUGUAUUAGCUAGUUGGUGGGGUAACGGCUCACCAAGGCGACGAUACAUAGCCGACCUGAGAGGGGGAACGGCCACACUGGGACUGAGACACGGCCCAGACUCCUACGGGAGGCAGCAGUAGGGAAUCUUCGGCAAUGGACGGAAGUCUGACCGAGCAACGCCGCGUGAGUGAAGAAGGUUUUCGGAUCGUAAAGCUCUGUUGUAAGAGAAGAACGAGUGUGAGAGUGGAAAGUUCACACUGUGACGGUAUCUUACCAGAAAGGGACGGCUAACUACGUG
RNAcentral lists this ribosomal RNA (495 nucleotides) under uncultured bacterium. RNAcentral's name for it is "partial 16S ribosomal RNA". It matches the Rfam family "Bacterial small subunit ribosomal RNA", at positions 28 to 507 of the family's 1533-position model. The record is from RNAcentral.